AUACAGAGGCCCCGAGCGUUAAUCGGAAUCACUGGGCUUAAAGGGUGCGUAGGCGGGUCAGUAAGCGCUUUGUGAAAUCCCACAGCUCAACUGUGGAACCGCAGGGCGAACUGCUGAUCUUGAGGAAGCUAGAGGCUGGUAGAACGAUAGGUGGAGCGGUGGAAUGCGUAGAGAUCUAUCGGAAUGCCGAAAGUGAAGACAGCCAGCUGGGGCUUUCCUGACGCUAAAGCACGAAAGCGUGGGGAGC
Molecule: ribosomal RNA, 247 nt
Filed under: uncultured bacterium
Lineage: Bacteria
Description: partial 16S ribosomal RNA
Rfam family: Bacterial small subunit ribosomal RNA
Source: RNAcentral